This 450-nucleotide ribosomal RNA is filed under the name uncultured bacterium. RNAcentral describes it as "partial 16S ribosomal RNA". It matches the Rfam family "Bacterial small subunit ribosomal RNA", at positions 354 to 796 of the family's 1533-position model. The record is from RNAcentral.
GUGGGGAAUUUUGGACAAUGGGCGCAAGCCUGAUCCAGCAAUGCCGCGUGCAGGAAGAAGGCCUUCGGGUUGUAAACUGCUUUUGUACGGAACGAAACGGUCCGGGUUAAUACCCUGGGCUAAUGACGGUACCGUAAGAAUAAGCACCGGCUAACUACGUGCCAGCAGCCGCGGUAAUACGUAGGGUGCAAGCGUUAAUCGGAAUUACUGGGCGUAAAGCGUGCGCAGGCGGUUUUGUAAGACAGGCGUGAAAUCCCCGGGCUCAACCUGGGAAUUGCGCUUGUGACUGCAAGGCUGGAGUGCGGCAGAGGGGGAUGGAAUUCCGCGUGUAGCAGUGAAAUGCGUAGAUAUGCGGAGGAACACCGAUGGCGAAGGCAAUCCCCUGGGCCUACACUGACGCUCAUGCACGAAAGCGUGGGGAGCAAACAGGAUUAGAAACCCGUGUAGUCC